This 284-nucleotide unclassified non-coding RNA is filed under the name uncultured Cortinarius. Its description in RNAcentral is "sequence contains ITS2". The stretch from base 1 to 52 matches the Rfam family "5.8S ribosomal RNA", at positions 103 to 154 of the family's 154-position model. The record is from RNAcentral. Lineage: Eukaryota; Fungi; Basidiomycota; Agaricomycetes; Agaricales; Cortinariaceae.
AACGCACCUUGCGCUCCUUGGUAUUCCGAGGAGCAUGCCUGUUUGAGUGUCAUUAAUAUAUAUAUCAACCUUCUCUUGUUGAAUGGUUUGGAUGUGGGGGUUUGCUGGCCUCUUAAAAGGAUUCAGCUCUCCUGAAAUGCAUUAGCAGAACAAAACCUGUUCAUUGGUGUGAUAACUAUCUACGCUAUUGAAUGUGAGGUGGCAGUUCAGCUUUCUAACAGUCCCUUGGGACAACUCAUCAUUAAUGUGACCUCAAAUCAGGUAGGACUACCCGCUGAACUUAA